CAUCUCUCUUUAUGCUCUUCUACUUUGGAUAUCUCUAUAUAUUAUAUUAACAUGAUUACUUUGUAAUACAUAAGUGAUAUACUAGACUAGAAUCUCUGCCUUGGGAUUAAAGCAAUAUGACAGAGAUGAAUGGAUUGGCUUCUAUGCAUUAGUUACCACAAGUUGAGUUAAAUGCCUUCAUAGAACACAUGUGAAUAUGGAAGUAAGCUUAUGGCAAUGUUGGAUUGGUUCCUCAUGUGCAACUUCGGAUUUCUUUUCACCAAAUAAAUAUAACUAUAUAGCAGAAACACAAAAAAUGAAGAACAGAUUUAGUGAGACACUAUAUUAGUUGUUAUCAGUGAGGCACUGCUACUCUUUCAUUCAGCAUGGAGAACAAAUUUAGUCCUCUUUUAGUCAUUAUCCAUUUAAAGCCAAUGUUUUUUGUUUGUUAUCAUUGCGUGAUUAGUUAUCCAAUUGAAUGUUGUGUUGUCGUCUUGGUUAUAUUACUUAGAUUUGAAACUGGAAUGAUGGCAGUGUGUUUCUUUAUAUUCCACUUCUUAUCUUAGUGAAUAAUAAAAGUUCUUUUACCAUUAUAUUUAUAUAAG
This 584-nucleotide long non-coding RNA is filed under the name Medicago truncatula (barrel medic). Its description in RNAcentral is "long non-coding RNA (MTRU_LNC000979)". The record is from RNAcentral. Lineage: Eukaryota; Viridiplantae; Streptophyta; Magnoliopsida; Fabales; Fabaceae.